RNAcentral lists this ribosomal RNA (401 nucleotides) under uncultured bacterium. Its description in RNAcentral is "bacterial SSU rRNA". It matches the Rfam family "Bacterial small subunit ribosomal RNA", at positions 356 to 773 of the family's 1533-position model. The record is from RNAcentral.
GGGGAAUAUUGGACAAUGGGCGAAAGCCUGAUCCAGCCAUGCCGCGUGAGUGAUGAAGGCCCUAGGGUUGUAAAGCUCUUUCGACGGGGACGAUAAUGACGGUACCCGUAGAAGAAGCCCCGGCUAACUUCGUGCCAGCAGCCGCGGUAAUACGAAGGGGGCUAGCGUUGUUCGGAAUCACUGGGCGUAAAGCGCACGUAGGCGGAUUAUUGAGUCGGGGGUGAAAUCCCGAGGCUCAACCUCGGAACUGCCUUCGAUACUGGUAAUCUUCGAGUCCGGGAGAGGUGAGUGGAACUCCGAGUGUAGAGGUGAAAUUCGUAGAUAUUCGGAAGAACACCAGUGGCGAAGGCGGCUCACUGGCCCGGUACUGACGCUGAGGUGCGAAAGCGUGGGGAGCAAAC